RNAcentral lists this ribosomal RNA (466 nucleotides) under uncultured bacterium. RNAcentral's name for it is "bacterial SSU rRNA". It matches the Rfam family "Bacterial small subunit ribosomal RNA", at positions 27 to 507 of the family's 1533-position model. The record is from RNAcentral.
CGGAUGAACGCUGGCGGCGUGCUUAACACAUGCAAGUCGAACGAACAUGUCUUUCGGGAUAUGUUAGUGGCAGACGGGUGCGUAACACGUGGGUGACCUGCCCUGGAGUGGGGAAUAACUAUCCUAACGGAUAGCUAAUACCGCAUAUGCUCGGUGGUUCGUUCCGCUGAGUAAAGUCGCAAGACGCUUUGGGAUGGGCCUGCGGCGGAUUAGGUAGUUGGUGGGGUAAUGGCCUACCAAGCCGAUGAUCCGUAGGGGGCGUGAGAGCGCGGCCCCCCACACUGGCACUGAGAUACGGGCCAGACUCCUACGGGAGGCAGCAGUGAGGAAUAUUGCGCAAUGGGCGAAAGCCUGACGCAGCAACGCCGCGUGAGGGACGAAGGCCUUCGGGUCGUAAAGCUCUGUCCUUGGGGAAGAAGGCGAAAGCUUGACGGUACCCAAGAAGAAAGCCCCGGCUAACUACGUG